RNAcentral lists this ribosomal RNA (1379 nucleotides) under uncultured bacterium. RNAcentral's name for it is "bacterial SSU rRNA". It matches the Rfam family "Bacterial small subunit ribosomal RNA". The record is from RNAcentral.
AGAGUUUGAUCCUGGCUCAGGAUGAACGCUGGCGGCGUGCUUAACACAUGCAAGUCGAACGAAGCACUUUGAAGUUUUCGGACAGAGAAGUGACUGAGUGGCGGACGGGUGAGUAACGCGUGGGUAACCUGCCUCAUACAGGGGGAUAACAGUUAGAAAUGACUGCUAAUACCGCAUAAGACCACAUUGCCGCAUGGCAGAGUGAUAAAAACUCCGGUGGUAUGAGAUGGACCCGCGUCUGAUUAGCUAGUUGGUGAGGUAACGGCUCACCAAGGCGACGAUCAGUAGCCGACCUGAGAGGGUGACCGGCCACAUUGGGACUGAGACACGGCCCAAACUCCUACGGGAGGCAGCAGUGGGGAAUAUUGCACAAUGGGCGAAAGCCUGAUGCAGCGACGCCGCGUGAAGGAUGAAGUAUUUCGGUAUGUAAACUUCUAUCAGCAGGGAAGAAAAUGACGGUACCUGCAGAAAAAGCAACGGCUAACUACGUGCCAGCAGCCGCGGUAAUACGUAGGUUGCAAGCGUUGUCCGGAUUUACUGGGUGUAAAGGGCGUGUAGGCGGAGAUGCAAGUUGGGAGUGAAAUCCCGGGGCUCAACCCCGGAACUGCUUUCAAAACUGCAUCCCUUGAGUAUCGGAGAGGCAAGCGGAAUUCCUAGUGUAGCGGUGAAAUGCGUAGAUAUUAGGAGGAACACCAGUGGCGAAGGCGGCUUGCUGGACGACAACUGACGCUGAGGCGCGAAAGCGUGGGGAGCAAACAGGAUUAGAUACCCUGGUAGUCCACGCUGUAAACGAUGAAUACUAGGUGUGGGAGGACUGACCCCUUCCGUGCCGCAGUUAACACAAUAAGUAUUCCACCUGGGGAGUACGACCGCAAGGUUGAAACUCAAAGGAAUUGACGGGGGCCCGCACAAGCGGUGGAUUAUGUGGUUUAAUUCGACGCAACGCGAAGAACCUUACCAGGAUUUGACAUCCUACUAACGAAGUAGAGAUACAUUAGGUGCCCUUCGGGGAAAGUAGAGACAGGUGGUGCAUGGUUGUCGUCAGCUCGUGUCGUGAGAUGUUAGGUUAAGUCCCGCAACGAGCGCAACCCCUAUUGUUAGUUGCUACGCAAGAGCACUCUAGCGAGACUGCCGUUGACAAAACGGAGGAAGGCGGGGACGACGUCAAAUCAUCAUGCCCCUUAUGUCCUGGGCUACACACGUAAUACAAUGGUGGCCAACAAAGGGAAGCAAAGCCGCGAGGUGGAGCAAAUCCCCAAAAGCCAUCUCAGUUCGGAUUGCAGGCUGCAACUCGCCUGCAUGAAGCUGGAAUCGCUAGUAAUCGUGGAUCAGCAAGCCACGGUGAAUACGUUCCCGGGUCUUGCACUCACCGCCCGUCA